This 270-nucleotide ribosomal RNA is filed under the name uncultured archaeon. RNAcentral's name for it is "partial 16S ribosomal RNA". It matches the Rfam family "Archaeal small subunit ribosomal RNA", at positions 477 to 747 of the family's 1478-position model. The record is from RNAcentral.
CAGCACCUCAAGUGGUCAGGAUGAUUAUUGGGCCUAAAGCAUCCGUAGCCGGCGCUGUAAGUUUUCGGUUAAAUCUGUACGCUCAACGUACAGACUGCCGGGAAUACUGCAGCGCUAGGGAGUGGGAGAGGUAGACGGUACUCGGUAGGAAGGGGUAAAAUCCUUUGAUCUAUUGAUGACCACCUGUGGCCAAGGCGGUCUACCAGAACACGUCCGACGGUGAGGGAUGAAAGCUGGGGGAGCAAACCGGAUUAGAUACCCGAGUAGUCC